AACAGCCUCUUAAAUUAGAGAAUCCAAACUUCAAGACAUUAAUCAAGAAUUUGAGGUUUCUCACAGAGCUUUAUUUGGAUAGUGUGGACAUUUCAACUCAAAGUGCUAAAUGGUGUGAAACCACAUCUCUUGUACUUCCAAACCUGCAUGUGUUGAGUCUGUCAAGCUGUGCUUUGAAAGGUCCAUUAUGUUCUUCACUCCCAAGACUCUCUUUUCAAAACUUAUCCUUGAUUGGAACCCAAUCUCUUAUUUACCUCCCAAUUUCUUGGAAAUUUCCUCUCGUUUGGUUUCUCUCAGUUUGAGGAACUGCAAUUUGAGUGGCCAUUUCCAACUGAAAAUCUCUUAUCGCCAAAAAUGCAAAGCAUUGACAUUUCAGAUAAUGACUUUCUUAAUGGUCAGUUGCCAGAAUUUCCAGCAAACAAUGCUUUACAGAGUUUGUCGCUUUUUUAUACAAAUUUCAGUGGAAAACUACCCCAAUCAAUUGGUAAUCUCAAGUUCUUGACUAAUUUAGAUCUUGAUGGUUGCAACUUUUUUGGACCCAUUCCAUCGUCAAUUGCAAAUCUUAGUCACCUGGUCAACCUAGAUCUAGGAGGGAACAAGCUUUCUGGAUCAAUACAUUCUUCUUUAUUUACUCUUCCAUCGUUGAAGACCUUGUAUCUUGGAGAAAAUCAAUUGGUUGGGAAAAUUGAUGAGUUCCCCAAUGCAUCUUCUUCUUUGAUUGAAGUACUGUAUAUAGGCAAUAAUUAUUUAAGAGGAGCAAUCCCAAAGUCAAUUCUUCAACUUCCAAGGCUUGAAUGGAUUUAUAUCGAAAGCAAUAGCUUUAGUUCCAUGAAGCUUGACAUGUUUGUCCAAGUCAAAAACUUAAGGACUCACUGGCUAAACAAAAUAAGCUUGUUAAUUGAAAGCGACAACAGAAGUCUUACUUUUCCCCAAUUAGAGAGCCUAAGCUUAUGGUCAUGCAACCUUACUGAAUUUCCAGAAUUCAUUAAAAGGCAAGACAAGUUGGUUGACUUAGAUCUUUCUAACAAUCAUAUCCAUGGUGUUGUGCCUAAUUGGUUGUGGAAGAGCAGUCUUUCAUCCCUACACCUUCCUUUCAAUGUGAUUGAUUUUCCAAAACAGCUUCCCUUAAAUGAUUCAAACUUCUCAUUUCCAAUGUUGACAGAAUUGGAUUUGAGAUCCUGUAACAUAAGUGCGUUUCCAGAGUUCUUAAAGAGUCUAGAAAAUAUAAUAUUUCUCGACCUUUCAAAUAAUAAAAUAAGUGGUGCAAUACCAAACUGGGCGUGGAAGAAAAGUUUGCGGUAUCUGUAUCUUGCUAAUAACCAUCUCUCAUCUUUGGACCAACUUUUACCCAAUCAGAGUUCAACUUCUUCACAAACCUCCUUGACUAGACCUAUUUGCAAUUUGAGUCAACUUAGAAAUUUCAAUGCAUCUCAUAACAAUUUGAGCGGCACGAUUCCAAAUUGCUUAGGCGAAAUGAAUGAUCUCCUAUUGUUGGAUCUGCAAGGAAAUAACUUCAGUGGAAUGUUACCAAAAUUUUCAAAAGCAACCCACUUAUAUAUUCUCAAAGUUAGUGAGAAUAGAUUGGAAGGGAAGUAGCCCAGAUCAUUAGCUGAAUGCACUCAGCUUGAAGUUUUAGACGUGGGAAACAACAAGAUGAAGGAGAAAUUGCCUUACUUGACGGUUCUAAUAUUGCGGGAAAACAGAUUUUAUGGUCAAAUUAAACAUAGAUUUGUUUUCCCAACUUUGGAUGUAUUGGACAUUGCUUCAAACCAGUUUUCUGGUGAACUAUCCAUUGAUUUCCUUCAACCCACUCGACUAAGGUCACUCAAAAUAGGUGGGAAUAAAUUAGAAGGGAAGUUGUCGAGAUCAUUAGCCAAUUGUAAAGCACUUGAGGUUCUGGACCUUGGAAAUAAUAUGGUUCAUGAUACAUUCCCAUUUUGGUUAGAGAAGCUGCCUUCCUUGAAGGUUGUCAUUUUGCGAGCAAGCAGAUUCUACGGCACGAUUACAAAAUUCAACACAGAACGUGGGUUUCCAAAGCUACGCAUAUUGGACAUUGCUUCCAACAAUUUUUCAGGCGACUUGUCCAUUGAAUUUUUGCAAAGCUUGAAGGCAAUGAUGCAGUUAACAAAUGAAGACAAAGCUAAGCUGGAUUACAUUGGGGAGAAUUAUUAUCAAGAUUCAGUGACAAUUUUCAACAAAGGGAUUGAGCUGUUUUACGAGAAAAUCUUAACCACUCUUACUUGUCUUGACCUUUCCAACAAUAGUUUCCAUGGGAGAAUACCAGAAGAAAUACAAAUGCUGAGGUCACUCAAAGUGCUAAACUUGUCCUAUAAUAGCUUCUCCGGUGAAAUCCCAGUAGCAGUUCAAAACCUAAAAGAUCUGGAGUCUUUGGAUCUGUCACAGAAUGAGCUAUCAGGGAAGAUUCCUCCACAGCUUGCAACAACUUUCCUAGAGGCACUGAACUUGUCUUACAACCCACUUGAAGGGAGCAUACCGCAAGGCAACCAAUUCAGUACAUUUUCAAAUGAUUCUUAUCGUGGGAAUCCAAAAUUAUACGGUCAACCAUUGUCCAAGAAAUGCAAUGAAGACGGUCUUCCAGUGCCACCGCCUCCAGGGGAAGAGGAACAGUCAUGGUUAUAUGCUAUGUCAACUUGGAAAAUUGUUUUGAUAGGUUAUGGUAGUGGUAUGGUCGCUGGGCUAUGUAUCGGAUAUACAGUGUUGAAUGAGUUGGGAAACAAAUGGGUUGACAAGUUCAAAAAACAUGGGAAAAGAAACAGAAGAAGAUCUAGGUGAUUGUGUCGGAAUUCAUGUAUUAAAGUCAACAGGUAAACAUUUCCUUUUGAAACUAUAGUCUUUAUAUUUUGAAACGAUUGAUGUUACAAACUAAUUUUGGAUCAUACAACACUGCAAUUCCUUAAUUUAAGUAGCAGGAGUGGUUACACAGUGAUUUUGUUUUUCCUAUGCAAUAUUCCUAUAUUUGCAUGCUUAUGAGAAGUUAUAUUCUUGGUGGUUUGACUUGUGUUUCUUAUUUUGUCACAGGGAAAUGACCUCUGUCCUUCUAAGCUUCAAGUCAUUGCAUGUAAUUGGUGGCAAUGAAUCAUUUCAAGUAGAAAACCACGCAAAGUAUGAUAAAUUUUGUCUUUUUUGUUUGGGUUUUUGUGCUAUAUAUUUUAUCAAACACAUGAUGGGCUUUAGGCUCGGGUGUAAUGGGUAGACCUAUUGGUCCGGGUUUUAGUGCAAUCUGACAUUUAUUUUGUACAAAUAAUUUAUUUAUCUUUUAAUAACAGUUUUAUUAUUUUAAAAAUAAGUAAAUAAAAUAUAAUGAAAAAUUAGAUAUCUUAAAAGAUGUCCGUUUCCGGAGUUGGCAAACUAUGUAAAACACUAUAAAUAUGAUAGCUUAUUCAAAUGAUUCUCCCAUUAUGAAACAUUUAAACGAAUUUACAAAAAUGAAAUAUUUAUUUACAAGAAAUAAAAAUUAGCCAUGUUAUGCAUAUGAAAAACAUAAUAAUUGCAAGUGAAAUGAGAAGCUUCAUAUUCUAAUUUUCAGGCCAACAGUCUGAGAAGAAAGCAUAGAUUGGUAGAAGAAAGCAUAUGGUGAAAAGGGUAAUCCCAAAACCGAUUUGCUGCACUCGAGGUUCUCUUACAUGUAGUUUGUAUCAUACGUGGAUGGUUGGAUCUUAUUAUAUUAGGAUUUAGUUUACCCAACUAUGAACUUCUACUUUAAACACAUUAAUCCUAUUCUAAAUUGGUGUCGAAACCAUUUUUAAAUUUGAAAAAUGGGAAUCGAUUUUGAAAAAUUGAGAUUGGAGUUGCCACCGAUCUUUUAUUGAGGUGUGAUCGGAUCACCUUGAAAAUAAUUUUAGGUCUGCGAAUUUUGAGAAAAUAGGUUCGAGAUUCGGUUACGCACGGGGAAGGGUUAGCACCCUUGUGACGCCCAAAAUUGGUACCAAAUCGAUUGUUUAAUGUACCAAAUCGAUUGUUUAAUGUCUUAGUGUCAAAAAUUUGAAACGAUUUUAAAAUACGAUCCUUUGAAAAGAAAAUUUGAAUGAAAUAAAUUGGAUGAUGAGGCUCUCUUCUUUCAAAGAAAUAAAUUGUCACACUUAGUAAGUUAGAGUGCAACAUUUUAAAUCCUAGAAAUUAAGUUCAUCUUUUGACUUUUAAAACCUAUGCAUUUUGAGAAGGAUAUCUGAUUAUUUGGGUCAAAUGAGAAAAUCAAAACCCAGUAAGUUAGGGUUCGAUUUCACAAAAUUUCUAAAUAUCGAAUAUUGCCUUUAUUUCCAUUUGUUAGAAGAAUCCUCGUCUUAAGAAAACAAUAUGUCAUAUCCAAUGCGUUAGGAUACCACGUAUCGAAUUCCCGAGAAUGAGCUUUUUAUUUAUGUUUUAGUUAAAAAGGAUAUUUGGUCUCUUAGAUCCCGAGGAAGAUUGGAAUCCUGUAAGUUAGGACACAAUCUUUUCAAGGAUCCCAAAUUCCGAGUGUUGCGUUAUUUUGAAAGCUUUUUGAAUAAAAAUGCUUUUGAUAUUUAAAUAAUAUGAAACAUAAUCUUUUGAACAAAUAAAAACAAUGAAAUAAUAACGUACACACGAAAUGGUGAUUUGUAAAUAACAUACAUUAAUGAAUAACAAAUAAUCAAUAGGUAAAUACAAAUAAACAUAGUAACAAUAAUCUCAAUCAUACAUUAUGCCAAUGCUAAUAAUAUCGACAUUCAAAGAUUAAAUGAAUUAUCAAUACAAAAAAAAAAAGUGUUAUAUGUGUAAAAUGUUAAAAUAAACAAUAUACAUAUAUGAGUUUAAAAUAAGUCAAAAAUGAAGAUAAAAAAAAUACUAUAAAAAUAAUAUCAAAAUGAAGUUUAAAAUGAAUAUUGUAUAUGAAGAAAAUCAAAGUACAUGAAAUAAUAUAUGCAUAUUAAUUUAAAUAAUAUUACAUAUGGAUUGGAAAAUUUCUUAUGAUAAUAUAAUAUAAUAGUAUGUAUAAAAGGUUGAUAUAAAUCAAGUAUAUAAUGAAAUAAAAUUUUAAAUGAAACCAGUUAUAUAUGUAAUAAGUAAAAAAUGUAAAUAUGAAAUUGACGAUACAUUAGGUAUAUACGUAUAAUAAAAAAAAAAACUUAAUACAAAUUUUAUAUAGAUAUAAUAGUAUUACAUAAAUAUGUUAUUGAUUUUUAAAGCAUAAAAGUAUAUAUGAAUAAACAUUUUAAGAAAAAAGUAUUAUAAAAAUAAACUCAUUAAUUAAAAUGUAUAAUAAUAUAGUUAACAUAAAAUAUAUACUAAUGCAUUAGAAUAGACAGUAUGUAAUAAAAUAAAAUAGUGUAUAUAUAUAUAUAUGAAAAUAAGUAAAUAUAUAAACUAAUAUGAUAAUAAUACCAAUAAUAACAACAAUAAAGAUAAUAAACUAAACAAUUUUAGCAAUAAUAACAAAACAGAGGACAAAAUUGGCAUUAAAGCAGUAAUUCAGGGGAGAAAUCUAAAAUAAAUAAAAAGAAAGGUCCAAAUUACAAAGAGCAAAUGACAUGGGGGACUGAAAGGGGAAUAUUCCCCACCCUCCAAAACGCAGCGUUGCAUAUGGACCUAGAUGAAAUCUGCAACAAAUUAUGCUACCCAAAAUUAAAGAAACUUAAAGGAUCGAGUUGGAACACAACGCGAAGUAAGAAGGACCGAGCACGCAAUUAUCCCUCUCCAUACCAAAACGCGCAGAUCUAGCCACGGUUGGAUCGGGUCAUCGGGUAUGGUCGUUAAACGGCGUCGUAUUGUUUGCUGUACAAAUUAAAAUCGAAGAAAAUCAAAUCGAAAUUCCACAAAACUAGAGGGACUCGUCGUGAAAAUAGACCAAUGAACAGAAGCACGCGGAUCCUGCCCCGAGUCGGGUCACCACGCGAUUUUGAACUUCCCAACGGCAUCGUUUUUAAAGCUACAUGGCCUGCUUAAAACGCUGUCGUUUCUUUCACCGUACAAAGGCUAAAAUAAACCUAAAACUAAUCAGCCAUCAGUCAUUUACAAAAAAAAAAAAACCUAAAGAAAAUCUAAAACCUAAGGAUUUCUCCCUGCGCCGCUCAACCUUUCAGAUCCCAUUUGCUCUGAUUACGACGAGAGAAGCAGGGAUUCGACGGUCACGUUAUGCAGGUGGACUCUCAUCCUUCCUCGAUUUCUUUUUUUUUUUAAACAAUGAAUAAAAGAAAAAAAGAAAGCAAAGAAUCGAAAAAGAAAAAAAGAUCGAGAGCCAAAAAAGAAAAUAAUACUCGAAAUCACCUUUAGAAACUGUUUUUCUAUUGCUUUUCAAAAUUUUCUCUCUGAUACACUAUUUGUGUGUGUAAUCCCCUUAUACAGAUUUCAAUCGGCCCUCUUUAUAGCCGAACCGAGAAAAAGAAAGAAAAAAAUCAAAUUUUCUCUAUUUUUUUACAUUUUUCUUCUUAUUUACUACCGGUAUUUACUGUCAAAUUGUUGCCUCUUUCUUUGCUGUUGCUAUCUAUUUUUCUUCUUGUUUGUUUGUCCUUCUUGCAGGUACGGCGUACGGAGGGUGGACGUGGCGUGCGUAGAGAGGGAGAGCAGAGAGGCGCUACUGCUACGGCUUGAUGGCUUGCUGGAGCGGCGGCUGAUAUCUCAGAAACCCUAGGGUUUCUGUUUGUGAUUUUUCUUUUGGGCUUAGGUGAUUUGGGCUGGGGUUAGGUGUUGGGCUAAUUGGGUUGGGGAUAUUGGGCUAGGCUAAUAUUUGGGUAGUGGGCCACACAGGCUAUUGUAAAUGGACUGCUAUUGGACUGUUAUUAAUUUUUGGAUUUGGUUUAUAUAUUUGUGCUUUUGGGCCCGGGCAAAUUGGCCUAUUACAAUUGGUAUUGGGAUUAGUCUAUUUAUUCUUUCAAUGAUAGUUUUAUUACUUUAAAAAAACACCCUACAAUUAAACUUUGUAUGUAAUAUGAUAAUAAUAAUUAAAAUAUAAUGAAAGAAAUUAUGUCUUACAGUCUAGUGAAGGCUAACAAUGUGUCACAUUAUCAUUACAAUGUACACAUACUUUGUAGGAAAUUUAUCCAAUGAAACAGAGGAUUAAACUAGUUUCCCAGAUGCAGGGAAGAAUUGGUAUGCUACAAUACUAAGAAAAAUACUAAUAACAAAAAAAUGGUAAUGGAAUCACCCUUGUUAUUAGGCUUAUGAAUUUCAUUGAUGGAUUCUCUUAACAUAUGGGCAAAUCUGGCGGCGGCGGUGCUAACCUCCUUUUGUAUUUUUAUUGGAUCCAGGAGGUUGGAGAGAAGGAGUAUGUGCUCCUCAUAGAGCUGCGGUGCCAUGGCUGUGCGGAAUGGUGCUGAGGAAUGUACUGCUGCAGGCGGUUAUUUGCCAGUGUCCUUGUGCAGGUAGCUGGCCAUUUGUGGAGACCACAAAAAAUAAAAAUUAGCCGUGUUUUGCACGGAUAAAAAAAAAUCAUAUUUUAGAUUUAAAUAAUUAUAUAUUCUUUAAUCUCAUUGGGUUUCAAUUGGUUUGGUAAAUUUUGAAAUAAAAAAAUAAAAAAAAAACCUUUUGGAAUUGGAAUUGGUUUGGUAAACAUUGUUUUCAUGCAGAAAGAUUUAGACAUUUGCAUGCAAUGUCAAAGGCUAAGACUAAGUCUAUGAAUAUAUUGAAAUUAAUAUGAUUAAUAAGACCAAUAAAAUCUCAUAAUUCAGAACUAUGGGGCAUUCUGGAUGGUCUUGGACCAGGUUUGACCAACGUAAAGGCUCUUCAUUCCCUUGUUUCACUUUUUCUUCCUUUCUUCUUUCUCUUCUCAUCCUCUCUUUCUCAAUCUCAUCUCCCAAGCCAACGCUUUGAUGACCAGAUAUCUCCUCUCUUGCAAUUGCAACAUCAUCUUUACUAUAAAUAUAGUAGCUUAUCCAAAUGAUUCACGAAACAUUUAAACGAAUUUAUAGAAAUUAAUACUUAUUUAAAAUAUUUACAAGAAAUAAAAAUUAGCACAUGAAGAAUAAAGAAAGGGAAAAAAAAUCCAUAUUUUAGAUUUAAUAGACUAUAUGUCCUAUUAUUGCGUUUUAAUUGGUAUGAUAAACUAUUUUCGACCAAAGGUCCAUCAAUUGAGCUGAAUUUUAUAUAUGCUGGCCUUCUCAUUGGUAAAUUUUGAAAUAUAAAAAAUAAAAAAACCUUUGGGAAUUGGAAGUAAUUCCAAUUUUGCAUGCAAAACCUUUGGGUAAAUUUUGCAUGCGGAGCCUGUUAUAGACCAUGGAGCACUGAUUGUGGGCAGUACUGGUCGAAGCAUGCAAAACUAUUGACAUUAUCCUAAACUUAUGUAAAACCAAAACUUAGAACUGAAAUUCAAUACAAAAUUUCAGUUUUCAAAAAUCAGCAGCCUAUGGCCCAGUGUAGAGGUGAUCAUGGGCCGGGCCAAGUUUGGGUCGGGAGCAGACAAAAUUUUAGGCUCAUUUUCUAGGCCCGUGUCUAGCCCAGCCCAAAAUAUGUGCCUAAAAAAUUUGUCUAAGCCUGGCCAAAAAGAAAAUUGCUAAGCCCGAGCUUAGCCCGGCUCGGCCCAUAUUAAAUUUUACAGAAACCAAUACGGUUUUGACUCGAACACCAAUGUUGAGGAAACAUGGUCAUGAUGGUGUUGGCGAGUUUAUUGAGUUUUAUGGUUAGGUCUAUGGUCAUAAAUCUUGACAAUGGAAUGCUUUACAAUCAAUAAUAUUGGUUUUAAAGUGCAUAUAGGAGAAGGUGUGACUGAUUAGGUAGAUGGCAUGUUUUUGGUGCUGAUUAGGUAGGCAACCACUUCAACCAUUAUUCCAAGUGAAGUUAGAACAAAAACAUCUGUUCAUUCUACGUGUAAUCAUGGCUCUAAUGAGGUUUAAAGGACAUUAUUAUUGCUAUAAUUUUAUUUUUUAAUGAUUUAAAUUUAAGAAAAUUAAAAUUAGAAAAUCAUUUAUAUAGAAUAAAGAGCCGACAAGAAGAUUGAAACCUGGCAUUAAUAAGAAGAAUAAGAGCUCAACAAAGUGGAUCAACAUAGUUUUCAUGCAUUAAUGAUAUGUCAACGACUAAGACUAAAGCCAAUAAUAUCUCAUAUUAUCAUUUUUUUUUAUAAGUUCAAAGUAUUAAAAUUUUCUUGUAUUAACGAUAAUGUUUAUAUAUGUUCAAUAUUCAUUAAGGAACCAAUUUUAUAUCAUUUUUGGGUCUUUUAUCAAAUUUUACUUAAAAAAAAUCAAUAGUAAACUAUUUUAUUUAAAAAAUUACCAUUAUUUCUUUUUUCUUUUAUGACCUUACUUAAUCAAAUUGGUACAUCAUCAUCAUCAUUAUUAUUAUUGGCAUGCAGUUAUAAAGACUUAGAAUUUUGCAUGCAUAUCAAAGACUUAGAAAUUUCCACUACUUGAUAUUUUAAUGACUUGAAUUAAACAAAGUGGUUGAACAUUACUCUCAUGCAGUUAGGGGCGAGUGUUUGAUCGAAUCGAAUGAAAAAAUUUCUAGUUAACCGAGUUGACAAAUUAUAUUUUAUCAUCGUAAUUUGAUUUGAAAUUUUCUGGAAUUGAGUCGAAUCAGAUGGAAUUCAUUCGAGUUAAAUUUUAAAAAAUAAUUUUGGGUCCUUAUAACUACUGUCACUCACCGUAAUAAAAUUUAUCCACCAUAAUCAAUUUUUUUAUUAACUUACAUCACCUCAUAAUUUAUAUUUUAAUCUUUUUUAUAUGGGUUAGCUUCUUUGCUUGUUUAGUUGUUUCAAUUAUCUUCAGAUUCUUGUCACUAUGUAUUUUGGAAUUAAGAAAUAUAUUAAAUGUAAAAAUGUGAAUUUUUUAAAUAAAAUUUAUAAAAUUUUAACAUAAAGAUCUUAUGGCUUCAUUAAUAAUUCAAUUUUAUGACUAAACAAAAGUAGAAUUAGGAGUUUUUUUAUUUUUUUAUUUGAGAUUUAUGGACAUUUUCUAUGUGAAAAGUUGCUACUAAAAUGUUUAAGAAAUAGGUUUUCUAGUUUCCUUCUGUUUUUUUAUUUGUUUGAGUUUGAUAUUUAAUCACUAGAAUUAAAAAUCCAAUUCUCUACUAAUAAAUCAAACAAUUGUUUGACUCUAUAAAAAAUAUUAUGGUGUAAAAUUGUUUGAUUUAAAUUAAAAAAUUAAAUAUGUCAAAUUAAAAUCUUGUUAUAGUAUAAUUAAUAUUUGAAAUCAUAAAUAUUUGAAAACUGUUUUAAAGUGAAAUAAAAAAAAAUUAUUAUAGUUUUUGCAUAAUAUAAAUUUUAGAAUUUUUAUGAAUAUUUUAACUUUAAAAAUUAUUUUAAUUUUUUUUUGUAAUUUUUGUUGAGUGAGAUUAAUUUGUUAAUUUUUAAAAUUGACAGGAAUCAAAAGAGUAUAUAUAUCAAUUUGUGUUUGAAUUAUUUGAGUUAUUUAAAUUAUAAAAUUCAACUCGAAUCUCGAAUUAUAAAUAUUUUUAAUAAUAUAAAACAUAAAAAAUAUUAAAAUUAAAUAAUAAUUAAAUAAUAAUAUAUUUCUCAGCCUCUAAGAAAGUUUGAAAGCUGAAAUUUAAAUAUGUUUCUUUUCAAAAGUGAAAAAUUGUAUAUAUUCUAUCAUCAAAAUUUUCACUCAUUGUGUCCGUCAAUUUAUAAGGUGGCUUGACUUGUACACAUUGAUUGAACGUUGUUUUUGUGCAAUAAAAACUUGGACAUUUGCAUGCAAUGCCAAAGACUUAAGACUUAAAAGGUCUAUAAUAUUUCAUACUACCAUUUUUUCUGGUCGUAAAUUAAAGAUUUUAAAAAAUUCAAAUUAAAACCAUUAUGAUUUAAAUUUAUUAUAGUUUUUACAUAAUAUAAAUUUUAGAAAUUUUAUGAAUAUUUUGAUUUUAAAAAUUAUUUAAUUAUUUUUUUGAAAACUUUUAUUGGCAGAGAUCAAUUUGUUAAUUUUUAAAAUUGACAGGGACCAAAGGAGCAGGUACACCAAUUUAUUGUUAGAAGUAUUCCACCACUUUAGUUAAGUCUUUUUGGUCAACCUUUUCCGGCAUGGGAUAAUAAUAAUAAUACUAAUAAUAAAUAAUUUAUAUGCCAAACAUGAAAACUACACAUUUGUGUAUCAAUAUGUUGUAUGCCAAGCACAAUCCUUCGUCACACCCAACAAACAUGAACACUCUUCAUUUCCUUAUUUCACUCUUCCUCUUCUCAUGCUUCCUUUCUCUUGUCUUGUCUUUUUCACCUCCUCAAACUCAUCUCCCUAAGCAAUGCCUUGAUGACCAGAGAGCUCCUCUCCUGCAAUUGCAGCAUCAUCUUUACUAUGCCCCUAAUUCUACUUUCUCUUCCAAUUUUGACCUCUGGGAUGUCAACACUGAUUGUUGUUCUUGGGAAGGAAUCACUUGUGAUGCUUAUGGUCAUGUCGUUGGCAUUGAUCUUAGUUACAAAAACCUUUCAGGCAGCUUUCACUCCAUAUUCGAUCUCCAUCAUCUUCAACACCUGAAUCUUGCUGGAAACAACUUUAAUACCACUCUGUUUUCGUAUGGGUUUGAUGAACUCCAAAAUCUAACUCAUCUCAACCUUUCAAGCUCAUGUUUCCAUGGCCAAAUUCCAGUGGAGAUCUCAUUCUUAAAAAGGUUAGUCUCUCUUGAUCUAUCCAAUCAAGGUUCUUGUUAUUUGAGAAAUGGUUACGAUUAUGAUUCAGCUACUUUAAAAUUGGAGAAACCAAACUUCAAGACAUUUAUCAAGAAUUUGAAGUUUCUCACGGAGCUUUAUUUGGAUGGUGUCGACAUUUCAACUCAAAGUACUAAAUGGUGUGAAACCACAUCUCUUGUACUUCCAAACAUGCAUGUGUUGAGUCUGUCAAGCUGUAGUUUGAAAGGUCCAUUAUGUUCUUCACUCUCAAGACUCUCCUUUCUUUCCAAACUUAUCCUUGAUGAAAACCCAACCUCUUAUUUACCUCCCAAUUUCUUGGUAAAUUCCUCUUGUUUGGUUUCUCUCAGUUUGAGGUAUUGCAAUUUGAAUGGGCAUUUUCCAACCGGAAUUCUCUUAUUGCCAAAAAUUCAAAGCAUUGACAUUUCAUUGAACCGCCAACUUAUGGGUCAGUUGCCAGAAUUUCCAGCAAACAAUGCAUUACUGAGUCUGUCACUUUAUGACACAAAUUUCAGUGGAAAACUACCUGAAUCGAUUGGUAAUCUUAAGUUCCUGACAAAUUUAGAUCUUUCUGGUUGCAAUUUUUUUGGACCCAUUCCAUCGUCAAUUGCAAAUCUUAGUCACCUGGUGAACCUAGAUCUAGGAGGGAACAAGCUUUCUGGAUCAAUACAUUCUUCUUUAUUUACUCUUCCAUCGUUGAAGAUCCUGUUUCUUGGAGACAAUCAAUUGGUUGGGAAAAUUGAUGAGUUCCCCAAUGCAUCUUCUUCUUUGAUUGAAGUACUGUAUAUAGGCAAUAAUUAUUUAAGAGGAGCAAUCCCAAAGUCAAUUCUUCAACUUCCAAGGCUUGAAUGGCUUUAUAUCGAAAGCAAUAGCUUUAGUUCCAUGAAGCUUGACAUGUCUGUCCAAGUCAACAACUUAAGGACUCUCUGGCUAAACUAUAUCAGCUUGUUAAUUGAAAGCGACAACAGAAGUCUUACUUUUCCCCAAUUAGAAAGCCUAAGCUUAAGGUCAUGCAACCUUACUGAAUUUCCAGAAUUCAUUAAAAGGCAAGACAAGUUGGUUUACUUAGAUCUUUCUAACAACCAUAUCCAUGGUUUUGUGCCCAAUUGGUUGUGGAAGAGCAGUCUUUCAUCCUUACACCUUAGACCUUUAUUUCAAUAUGAUUGAUUUUCCAAAACAAAUUCCUUUAAGUGAUGCAAACUUCUCUUUCCCAAUGUUGAGGCAAUUGAUUCUGGGAUAUUGUAACGUAAGUGCAUUUCCGGAGUUCUUAAAGAGUCAAGAAAAUUUAGAAUAUCUCAUACUUCCAAAUAACAAAAUAAGUGGUGCAAUACCAAACUGGGUGUGGAAGAAAAGUUUGCAUCAAUUGUCUCUUGCUAAUAACCAUCUCUUAUCUUUGGGCGAACUUUUACCCAAUCAGAGUUCAACUUUUUCACGAGGCUUUUUCUAUUUCGACGUAUCUUAUAACAAUUUGAGUGGCCCAAUUCCAAAUUGGUUAUGCAAUAUGAGUCAACUUCUCAGUUUCGAUGUAUUUUAUAACAAUUUGAGUGGCCCAAUUCCAAAUUGCUUGGGCGAUAUGAGUGCUCUGAGUUGGUUAGGUUUGCAAGGAAAUAACUUCAGUGGAAUGUUACCAAAAUUUUCAAAAGCAACCCAACUGCAAUUUCUGAAAGUUAGUGAGAAUAGAUUGGAAGGUAAGUUGCCCAGAUCAUUAGCUGAAUGCACUCAGCUUGAAGUUUUGGACGUGGCAAAAAACAUGAUGAAUGAUACAUUCCCUUUUUGGUUGGGGAAAUUGCCUGCGCUAAAGGUUCUCAUUUUGCGGGAAAACAGAUUUUACGGUCAAAUUAAACAUUUCAAACAUAAAUCUGUUUUCCCAACUUUGGAUGUAUUGGACAUUGCUUCAAACCAGUUUUCUGGUGAACUAUCCAUUGAUUUCCUUCAACCCACUCGACUAAGGUCACUCAAAAUAGGUGGGAAUAAAUUGGAAGGGAAGCUGUCGAGAUCAUUAGCCAAUUGCACAGCACUUGAGGUUCUGGACCUUGGAAAUAAUAUGGUUCAUGAUACAUUCCCAUUUUGGUUAGAGAAGCUACCUUCCUUGAAGGUUCUCGUUUUGCGAGCAAACAGAUUCUACGGCACAAUUUCAAAAAUUGACACGAAACGUGGGUUUCCAAAGCUACGCAUAUUGGACAUUGCUUCCAACAAUUUUUCAGGUGACUUGUCUAUUGAAUUUUUGCAGAGUUUGAAGGCAAUGGCGGAGAUGACUAAUGACGAAAAGGCUACGCUGGAUUAUAUCGGAGAGAAUUAUUAUCAAGACUCUGUGACAAUUGUUAACAGAGGGAUUGAAAUGUUCUACCAAAAAGUCUUGACAAUUCUUACUUGUCUUGACCUUUCCAACAAUAGUUUCCAUGGGAGAAUACCAGAAGAGAUACAAAUGCUGAGGUCACUCAGACUGAUGAACUUAUCCAACAAUGGCUUUUCUGGUGAAAUCCCAUUAGCACUUGAAAAUCUAAAAGAUCUUGAAUCUUUGGAUCUCUCACAGAAUGAGCUGUCAGGGAAGAUUCCUGCACAACUUACAAGUUUAAUUUUCUUAGCAGCAUUGAACUUGUCUUACAACCAACUCGAAGGGAGCAUACCACAAAGCAACCAAUUCAAUACAUUUACAAAUGAUUCCUACCGUGGGAACCCAAAAUUGUGUGGGCUGCCAUUGUCAAGGAAAUGCAAUGAAGUUGGUCUUCCAAUGCCACCACCUCCAGGGGAAAAUGAAGAUUCAUGGUUAUAUGCUCUGUGUACUUGGAAAAUUGCGUUGAUAGGUUAUGCUAGUGGAUUAGUGGUUGGGCUAUGUAUUGGAUAUACAGUGCUGAAUGAGUUGGGAAACAAAUGGGUUAACAAGUUCAAAAAGUGUGGGAUAAGAAAUAGAAGAAGAUGUAGGUGACUCCAUCAGAAUUCUUGCUUCAAAAUUAGCUGGUAAGCGUUUGUCUUUCUAAUUUGAACAGAUAGUUGUUGAUUUAUAUAUAUGGGUUUUCAUAACCUCAUUUUUUGCUGUCUUUACUAAGUUCACUAUCAUAUCGUGCUUGUAAUUUGAUGUUACCAUUGAGCAAUGCAGGAGGUACUUGAAGCAGGACAUGGAAUGUACAGUUGUGAGGUUCAUGAAGAAUGUAGGCAAUGAUCCUAACAAGAUCAAUCCACUGGUUUGUAAUUUUGCUUUAUAUGCACUUUUUUCCUUUUGUAGUUUUCCACGAGUAUAAGUAAGUGUUUAUUCAUUUUGCAUCCAGGUCCCUGUGGAUUUGGGGGAUGCAAUGUUUCACUGCUACUGAAUUUCCAUGCUAAUAAUGAUAUUAUAAACAAGGAUAUGGCUGCCCAAGCUUUCUUUUAUAUGCAAUUUACUUUUACUUCAAUUAUUUUAUCUUCGGAAUAUUUGUACAGCUGAGGAGAUUUAAUGGCAUGAUGUUGAUGGAAGCCAUAUCUGGUGGACAUUGGAUGGAUUGUGUAAAGAGACGCAGAUGCUGCUACUCCCAUCCUUUGCUCUUCCAAACAGAUAUUAGCUUUAUAUUUUAUCAAUCACGUGUUGGGCUUUAGGACCGGGUGUAAAGGGUGGACCUGUUGGUCUGGGUUUUAGUUCAGCCGGACACUUAUUUUCAUACUAGUUUGUUUAUCCUUUCAAUGAUAGUUAUAUUAAUUUCAAAAAACUUUUGAAAUUGAAAUUAAUUUUUUCAAAGAAUCGAAAAAUUGUUAAUAAUAUAAGAUAUCUUGUCAGUCUCAUUUGUCUUUGAUAAUUUCAAUUAAAUCUAUAGAAAUUUUAAUGUGAAAAUUUAAAUAAGUUUCUUUCAAAGAAAUUGCUAAGAAGAGAAAAACUGUAAACAUUUUAUCAUCAAAAUUUCCGCUACUUGUGCCCAUCAAUCCAUCUUAACUACCUAAGAAACUUGCUAAACAUUGUUUUCAUGGGGUAAAAAAGAUUUAGAUAUUUGCAUGCAGUGCCAAAAGGCUGAGACUAAGUCCAAUAAUAUCUCAUUCCAUAAAUUUCUAUUGAUUCCAUACACUUUAAGUUCAUUGAAAAGUCAUCAAAGUUAUGAGAAAAUUUAGUUUUUGAGCCAUUAAUUUAUCUCAACCAGCUAAAAAAAUUCACCACAAUUCCAUUUUUUUUUAUUAGUUGACUAAAAUAAAAUUAGUGGUACAACAUUAUUUUGAUGCAGUAGUGAUCGGGCUUAGUCCAAAAUUAAAAAUAAUGUAUGGAAAGUACUAAUUUGUGUAUAAAUAAGUUGUAUGGAAACAAUCCUCCUUCACAGCCAGCAAACAUGAAAGCCAUAUCUGAUGGACAUUGUACUGAUUGUGUAAAGAGACAACUGCUGCUGCUUCUCCCACCUUUUGCUGACACAUUGGGUUUUUAUUUUAUCAAACACAUGUUGGGUUUUGGUACAGCCUCGCACUUAUUUUGUACCAAUCGAAGUUUCGCAAAAAUUGUGUGGUCAUCAUAAUUUCCACUCCAUAUAUUCCCAUCAAUCCAUCUAAACCAGCUAACACAAAUGCUUUAUUUUUGUGUUUAUAAUGACUUGACUUAAACAAAGUGGUAAACCAUUGUUUUCAUAUGGUAAGGAUCGGGCAAAGACUUAGACAUUUGCAUGCAAUGCCAAAUCUUGAAUUUAGAGUUGAGCCCAUAAUUUGGGGUGUUGGAUUUAAUUAAACCCGUUGGUAGAUCAUAACAUAUUUAUAAGUUGGAUACUACUUAAUAAUUAGGAUUUAGGAGUACUCAUUAUUGGGUAAAAAGACUUGAACAUUAGCUUGCAUGCCAAAGAAAAAAAACCUUAAUUUCUAAAACACAUUUCAUCUUAUCCUUCAGCAAAUUAUCUCCGUCUCAUUUAUUUUUGAUGAUUUUUUAUGAGUGUUUAAUCGAAUCAAGUAAAAUUUUUUUGAGUUAACUGAACUGAUGAGUCCUAUUUAUCAUCCUAACUUGAUUUGACAUUUUUUCGAAUUGAGUCGAGUGAAAUGAAAUUCGAGUCAAAUUGAAUCGAGUGAAAUUAUUCAAGUUCAAUUAAAAAAUUAAAUAUAUCAAAUUAAAAUCUUGUUAUAGGAUAAUUAAUUUAAUGUUAGGACACAUAAAUUUAAAACUAUAUACAUUUGAAAACUUUUUCAAAACAAAAUAAUAAUAAAAAUUCUUACAAUUGAAAAAAUAUAUAUAAUUUAAAAUUUUUAUAAAUAUUUUGAAUUUUAAAAAUUAUUUUGAAAUAUUAGCAGGUAAGCAUUAGUCUAAUUAAGCAUUAGUCUUUCUAAUUUGAAAAGAUAGUUGUUGAAAAAUAAAUUUCUCUAUCAUAUCCUACUUGUAGCAUUGACAUUCAUUUUCCAUAUUCUAUUGUAAUUUUAUGUUUCAUUUAGCAAUGCAGGACAUGGAAUAUCCAGUCAGGAGGUACGUUAUCUUUGAGGAAAAUGGUAAUUAGUUCCUUAUGACUACAAGCAUUUUUCAAUCACGUUUUAUGCUUUAGGUCCGGGUGUAAAGGGUGAACUCGUUGGUCCGGGUUUUAGUGCAGCUUGACACUUGUUUUUAUAUUAGUCUAUUUAUCCUUUCAAUGACAGUCUUAUUACAUUAAAAAUUAUCGUUCAAUUAAGCUUUGUAUGUAAUAAUAUGAUAAUAAUAAUUAAAAUAUAAUGAAAGAAUUUUUGUGUUACAAUCUAGUAUGUUUUUAUAUUAGUCUAUUUAUCCUUUCAAUGAUAGUCUUAUUACGUUAAAAAUUACUGUUCAAUUACACUUUGUAUGUAAUAAUAUGAUAAUAAUAAUUAAAAUAUAAUGAAAGAAUUUUUGUGUUACAAUCUAGUAUGUUUUCCAAUGUUAGCCAAAGUCCAACACUAUGUCACACUAUUAUUACAAUGUACACAUACUUUUUAGGGAAAUUUAUCCAAUGAAACAGAGCAUUAAACUAGUUUCCCAGAUGCAGGGAAGAAUUGGAAUGCCACAAUACUAUGAAAAUGAUUAAGAAAAAUACUAAUAACAAAAAAAAAAAAAUGGUAAUGGAAUCACAGUAAUUGAAAUGACGAAGAAGGGUGUUUACCUGGAUUAUCAGCGACGAAUCUAAUGGUUGCCCAUCCAUUCACAGGCACUCCAACAGUGUUCCUCACAGGUGGAUCAACAAGGCUGAAUUUAGAAAUAUCCUUUUUAGGAUCGAAGUUCUUUAAACGUUGUGCAAUGAUAUAGAAAUCGUAUACAUGAAGAUGAAUUGGAUGAUUCUCGGGUGUCACUAUGCUUUUGUCUUGGAGCACAAUUUUGUACCCUAAAAAUGUUGGUAUGGGUUAGAGGUGAGAGAGGUGACUGAGAUGAAGAUGAUGAUGUUGAUGCUGAUGCUGAUGUGGUUGGUGGUGGCAAUGAUGAAGGUGAGUGAAGAAUGUUCAGUGAUGGAGGAUGCCUCCAGAGUGCUGGGAGCCGAAAGUGUUAGAAGAAAAAUGGUGGAAAAAGAGCCCCCGGUUAGAAGCUUUGCUACAAUUAAAAUUGAGUUAAAUUGAAUUUACCACAAAAUGCUGAUUUGUAUCCCGAUAAAAUUUGGUGUCUACGUAAAAAAAAAAUUAAAAUAUAAUGAAAGAAAUGAUGCCUUGCAAUGUGGUGUGCUUUUUAGUGUUAGUAAACAAUCUAAAACACUAGAAAAUUGGAAGUGACUUUAGAUUUAAAAAAGAAAAAAAAUCCAUAUUUUAGAUUAAAAAAGAAAUUCCUUUACUUUUUUAUGAAUUGACUAAAAUGAAGUGGUAGAAACAUUAUUUUCAUGCAGUAGUGAUCGGGAUAAGAUUAAGAUUAAUAAUAUUUUAUUCUUAUACUAAGACUUAGAAAUUUGCUUGCAAUGCCAAAUAUUAAAACUAAGACUAAGGCCAACAAUAUAUUUUACUAUUAUUUAGUUAAAAGUUUUUGAAGUUUAGAGAUAAAUUUAGAAUGCAACAUAUAAUUUGGGGUGUUAAAUUUAAUUAAACCCUUUAAUAGAUCAUAGCAUAUUUAUAAGUUUGGUACUGCUUCAUAAAUUAGGACAUAAAAGUACUCAUUAAUAAAUUAAUUUCGUAUAUAAAUUAAUUCUUUUGGGUGUUAUACCAAAUUUAAUUUAAAAUUUUUAAUAGUAAUUUUUAUUAAAAAUUAAAUUAUGUAAGAAUAAUUAUAUAUAAUCUAUAUACCUAUAUAUAAAAAUUGGUUUCCACCUUCUUUCUUUUUAAUUUACAUUUUACAAAAAAAAUUAAAAUUAAAAUUUAGUUUCUUUAAUAUGCCUAAAUUUGAGAUUUAAUCUAUACUUUAUUCUUUAACAUAAUUUAGGCACUAUAUUUUUAUAAUGUAAUAGAUUAGUCCUUACACGUGGCACAUCCAACCAUUUUUGCUGUCCUUUCCUUUAUCCUUUUUUUUUUAAUUUUACAAUAAAAUGUUAAAUUUCAGUUUCAAUCCCUCUAAUAUGUCUAAAUUUGAGAUUUAAUCUAUAUACUUUAAUCUUUAACAUAAUUUGGGCCCUACAUCUUUAAAUGUUAUUAAUUAGUCCAAAUUAUUAAUAUGAUUAACUUUUCGGUGAAACAUUACGUGGUUAUUGAUAGUUUGCAUACAUAAGAGUCUUAGAGACUGACACAUUACUUUCCAUUUCUUUUAGGUUUGCAUCACUUUUUUGUAAGCUAUACUAAAACUUAAUAUUUAAUCUAUAUAUUUAAUUUUUGAUAUAAUUUAGUUCAUCUACUUUUAUAAUGUAAUUAGCUAGUCAAAAUAGUUAAUGUUGUUGGUUAUUUCUAUCAACAUGCUAAUGUCAAUUUUUCUUAAAAACAAUAUGCUUCUGAUAGGAUUUUUUUUAUCGCGGCGAUGUGAAUGAGUGUUGUUAAGGAAAAGUCUUUAUAAAAUAUUUUAAAAGUUAUUUUUAUUGUUACAUGACUACCAAUUGAUUUUUUUUUUAAAUUUCAAAAUAUCACCUCAGAGAAUUUAAUAGAAGAAUUUUAAUGAUAGUAUAAUUGAAUCAAAAAUUUUAAAUUUUAAAAGUAGAAAAUCAUAUUUCUAAAAAUAAAAAUAGAGAAGCUAAAUUCUAAAUGUACAAAAUAGAGAGAAUUAAAAUAUAUUUUAACCUUCAAAUAUUUUACUCUAUAAUUAUAUAUUUUUACUCUAUAAUUCUCACUUCCACUUUAUCUUUGUUAAUUUCCUACUUAUUUCUAUUUUUUAUUUUGCUUAUGAAUCUAAACAGAGAAAAAAAAAGGACAAAAAAAAGAAAGAAAUGAAUAGUAUGAAUUAAAAUUUGAGAUUUGAUCCCUAUUAAAAAUUAAAAAUUUAUUGUUUCUAUUUUUUUAAUUUAAAAAUCAUAGAUAAAUCCUUCUACACGUAAUUUAAAAUUUUUGUGCAUUCAAUCAUCAGAAUUUCCACUCCUUGUGUCCAUCGGUUCAUCUCAAAUCACCUAAGAAACUUGCUAUAAUUUGUCUUUAUAAUGACUUAAACAAAUCGGUUGAACAUUGAUUUCAUGCAGUAGUGGUCCACCAAGAAGACUUAGGGUAGUUUUGGAUAGGUGGUGUAUUUAUUUGCUGUUAGUCUAAAAACAACGGUGACGGUAAGAUUAGAUACUAUAAUGAUACUGUAACAUGAGAUAAAAAAUAAGCUAAACGCACCGCACCGCCCAUCCAAAUCCACCCUUAGACAUUAACAUGCAUGCCAAAACAAUUAAGACUAAGGCUAAUAAAAUCUCAUAUUAUCAUUUUCUUUGUUAGUCCAAAAUAAAAAAAUAUUAAAAAAAUUUAAGUUAGACAAUUAUUGAUAAUUUAAGGACUUAAUUGAAAUAUUUUAAAAUUUAGGUAUUAAUUUAUAAUUUAAUCCAUUAUUCAGGGGAAAAGAUCAGAACCUUGGAAUAUUAUUCAUAUAGAAUAAAGAUGCAGAAAAAAGAAUGGUCUUCAUUUCUUUCGUUCUUUAUCAUUUUAAUUAACUUUAAGGAAGCUUCAAAGUAAAAAUUUAAAUAUGUUUCUUCCCAAGAAAUUAUAUUAACAACUUAAUGUAAAUAAUGAUUUGAAUAUUGGAAUUAAAUAUUAAGUAAAAUAAUAAUGUUGUAUUGAAACUACAAAUUUAUGUAUAAAUGUGUUGCAUGAAAACCAUCCUCCUUCAUACCCAAUCAACAUGAAGACUCUUCAGUCCAUUGCUUCACUUUUUCUACCUUUCUUCUUUCUCUUCUCAUCCUUUCUUUCUCAAACUCAUCUCCUAAUGCAGUGCCUUAAUAAAUAAGUUGUAUGCCAAACACAAUCCUCCUUCACACCCAUCCAACAUGAACACUUUUCGUUUCCUUAUUUCACUAUUUCUCUUCUCAUGCUUCUUUCCUCCUCUCUUGUCUUUUUUACCUCUUCAAACUAAUCUCCCAAAUGCUGCAAUUGCAACAUCAUCUUUACUAUGCCCCUAAUUUUACUUUCUCUUCCAAAUUUGAGCUCUGUGAUGUCAACACUGAUUGUUGUUCUUGGGAAGGAGUCACUUGUGAUGCUUAUGGUCAUGUCGUUGGCAUUGAUCUUAGUUACAAAAACCUUUCCAGUAUCUUCCACUCAAUAUUCGAUCUCCAUCAUCUUCAACACCUGAAUCUUGUUGAAAAUAACUUUAAUACCACUUUGCAUUCUUAUGGGUUUGUGUUAAAGUUGGCCUGCAUGCAGCCAAGAAGCAGAGAAGCAACCCGAGCCAUGAAUGUUGCAGUUGAAGAUGGUGCUGCUGUUUUUGUUUAGUUUUGUUACUUUAAUUAACAUUUUGUAACUUAGUUAGAUUCAAACCAAGUUGUUAAUGUACUUGAUGUAAUUUGUCAAUGCUUUGAGCUGAUAAAUUAGCUUCACUAAGUGUGCAAGUUAUGUUUCAUUAGUUUCAAGGUUACUUAGUGGUAGUAGGUAAUGUUUAGGUAACAAUUUACUUAUUUUUAACUAGCUUAUGUCUGGUAUAUGUAUUGGCAUUAUGCCAUCUUUCAAUGUUAAUGAAAAUUCAUCAAAAUUCAUCAUAAAAUUCCCUUUUCUUGCUUUCUUUUGUCUUUCAAGCCUGGUUAUAUUUUGUUUGCUCAGCAAGUAUCGAGCCUUCAAGCUCAAGAAACUGCUAACUUCAUUCAUUUCACAUUCUUAGUUCCAACAAUUGGUAUCUAGAGCUCAUCUUCUAAGUGGACAUGUCAUUUUUCAUUCCUCAAAACUAUGUCUUCUUCAGGUUCUCUCCAGCUGCACCAACAGUCUUCAAUGGAGAAUGCUACCACAUUUGGGUAGUAAAGAUGAAAACCUACUUGCAGGCAUUCAACUUAUGGGAAGUGGUUAACUCGGAUGUUGAACCAGCACCUCUAAGAGUCAAUCCCACAGUGGCUCAGAUCAGGCAGCACAUAGAUGAAAGAACUAAGAGAUACAAGGCCAUGUCUUGCAUCCAAAACAGUGUGUCUGAUGUGAUUUUCACAAGUAUCAUGGUUUGUGAGUCACCAAAACUGGCCUGGGAUAGGCUGAAGGAGGAGUUUCAAGGGACUGAAAGAACGAGAUAGCAAAAAUUAGUGAAUUUGAUAAGGGACUUUGAAAUUUUGAAGAUGAAGGAAGAAGAAAUAGUGAGGCAAUAUUCAGAUAGAAUCAUGGUUGUUGUGAACAGCAUCAAAUUGCUUGGGGACCAGUUUAGUGAAGCAAGAAUUAUAUAGAAGGUUAUCUCAACCUUGCCUGAAAGAUAUGAGGCCAAGAUCUCAUCCCUUGAAGACUCGAGAGAUCUGAUUAGCAUCUCAUUGACUAAGCUGAUCAAUGCUCUUUAUGCUUAAGAGCAAAGAAGAGCCAUCAAACAAGAAGAGCAUAAAAAAUGUGCAUUCCAAGCUAAAAGUAGAUUUACCUCGAGCUCCUCUAGCUAUAAAGGGAAGAAGACCUAGCAAGAAUGCCUAAAAGAGAUGGAGUAAGAAGAAGAUAUCCACCUUGCCCACAUUACAAAAAGCUUAGUCAUCAGGGAGAAAACUGUUGGUUCAGGUUUGAUGUGCAGUGCAAAGUCUGCAAAAAGAUGGGUCAUGCUGAGAAAGUUUGCAGAAACAAAGGCAAGCUGAGACGAAACCAACCUCAAUAGCCAAGAGCUAAAUCUCAAAUGGCAGAAGAAGGUAAUGACUAAGAAGAGUAAGUCUUUGUUGUUUCAUGCUCAGCUGCCAAAAGAAAAGCCACAAAAGAAUGGCUGAUAGACAGUGGUUGCACAAACCACAUGACUCCUAAUGCUGCUAUUUUCAAGACCUUAGACAGAACCUUCAACACAAGGGUGAAAGUUGGUAAUGGACACUUCAUCAAAGUAGAAGGCAAAGGAGAUGUGCUGAUUAACACUCCUACAAGUAUCAAACUUGUUUCAAAUCUUUUGUUUGUGCUUGAAAUUGACAGAAAUCUACUUAGUAUAGCUCAGUUGCUAGAAAAGGACUAUUCAAUAGUGCUCAAAGGCAAAGAAUGCCUGAUCAGUGAUCCAUAUAGAUCGAAACUCAUGUCAGUGACCAUGGCUGACAGAAGUUUUGUUAUGGACUGGAACAAGGGUUCAGACAGUGCCUAUACAGCUGCUUUGGAUGAAUCCAAGCUGUGGCAUAAAAGGCUAGGCCAUGUCAACUACAAGUCACUGGCUCAGCUAACCAAAGAAGACUUGGUUGAAAACUUCUCCAAAUUAGUUGAGAAAGAAGAAGUGUAUGAAGUGUGUCAGCUAGGAAAGUGAGCUAGACUGCCAUUUCCUUUGAACAAGGCUAAGAGAGCCUCUGAAAAGUUGCAACUAGUCCACACUGAUGUGUGUGGCCAUAUGAAGACACAAUCUUUGAAUGACAGCAGGUAUUUUAUCCUUUUCAUUGAUGACUACUCAAGAUAUUAUUGGAUUUACUUCCUAAAGGACAAAUCAGAAGUAGCCUUAAUAUUCUGGAAGUUCAAGGCUGUAGUAGAAACAGAAACAGGUUACAAGCUAAAGACAUUAAGGUCAGAUAAUGGGACAGAGUAUACCUCAACUAUGUUUCAGGGCUUUUGUGAUGAAGCAAGCAUCAAGCACCAAUUCACCAACACCUACACACCUCAACAGGAUGGUGUUAGUGAAAGAAAGAAUAGAAGCUUGAUGGAUAGGGCAAGAUGUCUGUUGUUUGAGAGAAAUUUGCCCAAAACCUUGUGGGUUGAGGUAGUUAACACUGUUGUAUAUCUUCAAAAUAGGUUACCAACCAAGGCAUUGGUUCAUAAAACUCUAUUCGAGGCCUAGUUUAGGUUCAAACCAUCAGUUGCUUACCUGAGGGUCUUUGGAUGCAUAUGCUAUGCACAUGUCCCGGAAGUAAAAAGAGAUAAGUUGGCCAAGAAGGCUCAACCUGGCAUCCUGGUGGGCUAUAGCAGUGUCAAGAAAGGCUAUAGGGUCUUGGCCCCUUCAUCCAAUAAAGUUUUUGUGAGCAAAGAUGUAGUAUUUGAUGAGAAGUGAGGCCGGAACUGGGAUAAAAAUAAACCAGAGACUGCUACUGAAGACCUGGUGACAAAUCAAACUGAAGCUGAUCGAAAUGAUCCUAAAAUGGGCAUUGAUGAUGUGCCAGUUAGAGGAACCAGACCAUUGGCUAAAAUAUAUGAGAGGGCUGAUGUGGCUGCUAUUAAACCAAAUUGCUUUGAAGAGGCUGAAGCUCAACAAGGUUGGAAACAUGCAAUGCUUGAUGAAAUGAGCAUGAUUCACAAGAAUAAGACCUGGGAGCUCGUUGCAAGACCAGCCAACAAGAAGGUUAUAGGAGUGAAGUGGGUGUUUCGAGCCAAGCAUAAAGCUGAUGGAACUUUGAACAAGCUGAAAGCAAGAUUAGUAGUGAAGGGAUUCAGUCAAAGGUAUGGCAUUGAUUAACUUGAAACAUUUGCACCUGUGGCCAAGUUUGACACAAUUAGACUGCUGGUUGCCUUGGCUGCACUGAAUCAUUGGAAGAUUCAUCAACUCGAUGUAAAAUCUGCCUUCCUCAAUGGUUUUCUUGAUGAUGAGAUAUAUGUUGAACAAUCUGAAGGUUUCAUAAAAAAAUAUUAUAGUUUUUACAUAAUAUAAAUUUUAGAAUUUUUAUGAAUAUUUUGAUUUUAAAAAUUAUUUAAUUUUUUUUGUAAUUUUUGUUAAGAGAGAUUAAUUUGUUAAUUUUUAAAAUUGACAGGAAUCAAAGGAGUAUAUAUAUCAAUCUGUUGUUUGAAUUAUUUGAGUUAUUUAAAUUAUAAAAUUUAACUCAAAUCUCAAAUUAUUAAUAUUUUUAAUAAUAUAAAACAUUAAAAAUAUUAAAAUUAAAUAAAAAAAUUAAAUAAUAAUAUAGAAAUGAAAAUAUUUCUCAUGCUCUAAGAAAGUUUGAAAGCUGAAAUUUAAAUAUGUUUCUUUCAAAAGUGAAAAAUUCUAUAUAUUCUAUCAUCAAAAUUUCCACUCAUUGUGUCCAUCAAUUUAUAAGGUGACUUGACUUGUACACAUUGGUUGAACGUUGUUUUUGUGCAAUAAAAACUUGGACAUUUGCAUGCAAUGCCAAAGACUUAAGACUUAAAAGGUCUAUAAUAUUUCAUACUACCAUUUUUUCUGGUCCUAAAUUAAAGAUUUUAAAAAUUCCAAAUUAAAAUGUUACUCAUAAUUUGAGAACUUAAUUAAAGCAUUGUAAAGUUUAUGUGUCAAUUUAAAAUUCGAUGUAUAAUUUUGCGAUGUAAGGUGAAUUAACCCGUUUGAUAAAUCAUUACAUAUUUACAAGUUGGAUACUCAUUAACAAAUUGAUUUUAUAUUAUAAGUUAAAAUUUAUAUUUUUGGUGCUAUAACAAAAUUUACUUAAAAAAUUAAAUUGUAAUUUUUUUAUUUUAAAAAAAUUAAAUGAUGUAGAAAUAAUUAUAUAUAACAUAAAAAUGAUAAAAUUUACCUAAGUUUAAAAUAAUUUAAAGUUAAAAUAUUUGUAUCAUGGAUUUUUUUUUCUAAAAAGUCGAUACCUAAAAUAUAUAAUUUAAACUCAAAAUAUCGGUUGAAUUAUCAUCUUUGCGUAGUAAUGGUUCCAAUAGGGUUUAAAGUGCUAUAAUUUAAUCUUUUUUAAUGACUUAGAUUUAGACGAUUAUUUAUAUAGAGUAAGGAGUGGGCAAGAAAAUGACAACCUUGGCAUUAAUAAAUUAAUGAGAUCGAUAAAAUAUUAAAAUCUCGUUCUUGAAAAUUAAAAUUAACAAAAAAGAAAGACGUAAGGCAAAUUAAGUGUGGAUUUAACAACUUAUUUCUAAUACUAACAAUAAGUAAUUUAUGCAUCAUAAGUAAUUUAUGCAUCAUGACUAACAGCUUUAAAUAAUACUUGAUGGAGUCUUGAUUUGGCAAAAUGACUUAGAAAUUGCAUGCAAUGCCAAUCACUCAUAAACUGUAACGACCCAAAAUCCGUGGGCAGUGGAAAAGUAUACUAUCGGGCCUCUAUCUUAGUAAACCGAGUUAGUAAAUAAUUAUUAGGAGUAAGUAUGAGUUUAGUUGAGUGCUUAAUUAGGUAUUAAUUAGGUGAAUUUAGUCUAAUUAAGAAUAAUUAGAAAAAAGGAUCAAAUCGAAUAAAGAGUGAAAGUCUAAUUAUAGAUUAAAAGAAAGUAAAAAGGACUAAAAUGAAAUUAAGCCAUUUACAUGAAAAGAGGCGACAUAUAUGCAUUAAAUCCAAGAUUUUAUUUAUAAAUAUUAUAUGUAUAUAAUUGUUAUAAUAAUUAUUAUUUAUUCAAAUUGUAAUUUAUAUUAAUUAUAUUAUUAUAUUAUAGAAUAAAUUAAAAUUAAGACAAGUGUUUGGUGAUAAGAUGGUACAAGUGUAAUAAUAUAUAUAUAUACACUUGUAUUAUAAUUAUUAUUUACUUAAAAUUUAAGUAAAAGAUAUUAAUUAAUUAAAUAAUUAUAUUAUUAGAUUUUUAUUUGAUAAACAAAUUAAAUAGUGACAAUUGUAUGAUAUUGAUGGUGUACAAAUGUGAAUAAAUGAUUGAAUAUUUAAUAGAUAUUUAGAAUAAAAUAUAUAUAUAUUAUUAUAAUAUAAAGUAAAUAAAAGAAAAUAAAAUAAAAGAAAGCAAAUGAAAUAAAAAGAAACAAAAGAAGAACAUAAUAGAAACAGAGAAAGAGACGAAAACAGGGGAAGAAAAGGGAAAGAAAAGAAAAGGGGAAAAUUGGGAUUUUAAAGCUUCAAGUUUAAUUGGUUAGCUAAAUUUAGCAUUUUUCUCUUAAUUUUGAUGUUUUAGAAGCUUUAAAACAAAGUUUUGUUGAAAUUAAGUUGAGGUUUUGGAAGUUUAUAAGUUUAGAGAGCAUGGUUCAUGUUGGACAAUUUGUUAAAUUAGGGAUUUAAUUGAAUGAAUUUCAAGUUAGAAUUGAUAAAAGGAUUAAAUUGUGAAGUAAGUUAUAAUUUUAUAUUGUAGGGACUAAAUUGAGGAAAAUUCAAAAUUAGAAAAAUAUGCUGAAAUUUUAAUAAUUAAAUUUGAGUUUGGAUGAAAUUUGAAUAGAAAAAGAGUGUGAAUUGAAUUAGAAAAGUAAGUAAACUUAGUUAAGAUUAAAUUUAGAAUAAGGUAAGAAUUGAUUAAAAAAUUAAUUAAUUAUUUUAAUUUAAUGUUGUAAUUAAUAGCGAAAAUUAUUAUUAUUUUCGUAGCUAACAAAGAACCCGAGACAUCGGCAUCAAAAGGAAAGGAGAAAGCUAUCGAGGAUUAAAUCGGGAGAUUUACGAUUUGUAUUACUAUAAUUCAAAUUAUUUAUUACUUAUUAUUAAAUUAAAAUUAUUUGUAUGGUAAGUGAAUAAUAAGGUAAGUGACUUAUUUAUAUUGAAUUUGGAAAAUUAAAUUGAAAUGAGAAAAGUAUGUUUCGGUAAUAAAUUGUGUUUUGAAUAGUGAAUGGAAAAGUAUAAUUGAGACCGAUACUGAACUGAAUUAUGAAAUACUGAAUAUUGUUUGAAUACUGAAUUGAACUGUGAAAUUACGGAAGUAAUGAAUUAUUGCAAUACUGUGAAACUGAUUGAAAUAAGGAAUUUUAAUUAAUACUAAACUAAAAUGGAAAUUAUACUGAAAAGUGAAUUAAAUACCCUAUUAACUAGUCGGGCUAGUCGGAUAUAGUUGGCAUGCCAUAGGAUAUGGAAGAGUACGGGGUAUUUGCUGGCUUACUGAUCAGGCACUUAUUGUAAUAACCCGAUUCUAGGCCUAGUCGGAGCAGUGGUUUCGAGACCACAAAUCCGACGAGGGAAAAAUUAUUAUAUUUUUAUGGUCUACAAUUUCAAGAAAAAUUGUUGUAAAAAUUUCGUUCGAAAAUUUUGACGUUUGGGCACUCAAUUUAAUCAAAAGGACUAAAUUGUAAAAAGUGCAAAAGUUGAGUUCUACAUCUUAGAGGUGUCUAAUUGUUAUGAAAUUUUAAAUUGAAGGUCUUUAUGUGGUAACUAGACCAUUAGUUAGUUGAUGGACAAAAAUGAGCAUAGAAUUAGUGAAAAAGAUUUUUUUAAGUAAGGGCAUUUUAGUCAUUUGGUAAUUAAAUAGAAUUAAAUGGGUGAAAGAUGACAAAAUAUGCUCAUCUUCUUCAUGGUGAAUGAAAUCAGUAAGGGGGAAAGCCAUAUUUAGGGUUUUUAAGCUUCCAAGCUCCAUAAUCAAGAAAGAUGUGAAGACCACCUUAAACGGGAAAAAGAAAAGGUCGAGGAGUAAAUCACAAAAUCAAAAUAUUUUGUUCCGAGGUAAGUAUGCAUGUGAUUUAAUGUAUUAUUUUAAUGUUAUUUUAUAUAUAUUGCUGGGAUUUGAUUGAAAAUGGAACGAAUACUCGAUAUAGACUCUAAAAUGUGGUUAAAUUGGAAGGUAGUAAAGCGUUGAAAAUCAAAGUUUCCGGUUGAACACUCGGAAUAAGCCGGGAUACAUUGAACAUAAAAGGGGGUUUCUAAGUGUUGAUUCCCCAAAUCAUCGGUGGUUGCUAAGUGCUGAUUCCACCGUGUCUUCGAAUAUGAAAGGGGUUGCUAAGUGCUGAUUCCCCAAAUCAUCGUGCUGAUUCUCCAAAUCAUUGGUGGUUGCUAAGUGUUGAUUCCACCGUAACGGAUUGUAUAAGGGGUUGCUAAGUGCUGAUUUCCCGAAUCAUUGGUGGUUGCUAAGUGCUGAUUCCACCAUAUUUUUGAAUGUGCAAAAGGAGGUUGCUAAGUGCUGAUUCCCCCAAGGGGUUGCUAAGUGCUAAUUCCCCGACUCACUUGUGGUUGCUACGUGCUGAAUCCACCAAAUAACGGUUAAUAUUCUGAGUGUUCAACAGGAAAAUUGGAAGGGUGAUUGAACAUGUAAAUUAAAUAUGAUUGUGUGGGGAAUAUUGGGUUUGAUAUUUAAUCAACCCAUGUGUAAGAUGAAUGGAAGUAUCAAAACUACAAAAGAGCAAGUUGGUCACAAACAGCUUAAAACAACAACAGUUGGGUAACUUGGAAAAUUCACCAUAAAUGGUGGAAUUUGAAUUAGAGGUUGGGUAAUAUAUGAAAUUGAAGCUGAAUGAGUCUAUUUUCAUAUGAAAGAAUCAUAGCAAGCAAAAGAGUUAUAUAUUUUGAAAUAUUUAAAUUUUAGUGAGACAGGGCUGAAUUGCUUUUGAGAUCCCCUGUUCCAACUUUGGAAAAUCACCAAAAAUUGUAAAAAAAUAAUUGUGGGUUGAAAUUUAUAUACUUAAAUUUCUUCAUUAAGUCUAUUUUCUGUAGAAAUAAACAAGAACCUUAUAUGAAUUUUGCACAGAGAGUAUAGAUUUUAGUAAAGGGUGGUCAGAGCUGUCGAGCAGUGAAAAGGGGAAGGUUUGAAGAAUAAAAUGUACUAAUUUCCAAAACCAAAAAUUCUGAAAAUUUUAUGGUAGAAAGGUAUAUGAGUAUAGUUUCAGAUAAAAUUUACAGAACUCAAUUUGGAGCUCUGUAGCUCCAGAUAAAAAUAAAUUAGUGACUGUGAUGCAGAAAAACAGGUUGCUGGAAAUUGAGCAAACAAUGAAAUUUAUGAAUGAUUAAAAUUAUAUCACUUUGUAAUAUUAUGAGAAAUUUAUUAAUUUUUCAUGUGGUUACUUACUAAGCUAUAUGCUUACUCUUCUUUAUUUUUCUCUUGAUUAUAGUGAUAACAAUCUGCCUGAAGUUGGACGAAGUCAGAAAUCAUCCACACUAUCGUCAUCUCUCGGGGUAUUUUGUAAUCAAUACUUUUGAAACAUGGCAUGUAUAGAUGACUUAAUUUAAUAUGAUAUAAAUAUGUUUGUAAAAUAUUGUUCGGUUAAAAAUGUUGGUGUUUAUUAUUGAAUAAAUUGUGUAUGCAUAUAUAAUACUGUAAUUGGUUGAAAUAUUAAGAUCGUUUGAAAUUGUUCUUUGAAAAUUUGCAGGAGGUUUUAUGUAAAAAUAAGCAGAAAUGCUGCCGAAAUUUUACAAAAAAAAAUAGUAAUACCUCGUGCUCUAUUCCAUCAAGGAAUACGGGUAAGGGGUGUUUCACUUAUGUGCCGACUACUGUUACUGUUACCGAUUCGGCACUUUGUGUGUCGAAUACUGUUACCAUUACUGUUACCGAUUCGGCACUUUGUGUGUCGAAUAUUGCUACUGUUACUGGUUACUGUUUAUUAGUGUGUUUGGUUGGAAUCCGUGUAUCCGCCGAGUCCGAGUUAAGUUAAUAGGGAUAAAUGAAAUAAAUUUACUGAUAAAACCAAUCUCGAAUGAUAUAGUAUAUGUGAAAAAUGAAAAUUGAAAUAAAGAAAUAAGAAUGAUAUUUAUAUAUAAGAUUAAUUGAUAAUAUAAAAAGAUCGAAUUGUUUAUUAGUAGUGAUGAUUGUAAUGAAAAAGUAUGUGUGUGAUUUAAUGUAUUUAAUUGUAAAUUGAAUUAUAGUGAUACCACUGAGUAUGAAAUACUCAGCGUACAGUUGUUUCUGUGCGCAGGUCGAUAGAAGUCAAAGGUUCCGUUUCAGCAUCCGAAGCCAGACCCGACUUCAGCAAAUUUUGGUGAUGAAUAUUUUCUUUGGUAAUGUGGCAUGUACAUAGGAUGGGUAUAAAAGUUAUUAUGUUUUGAAUAUAAAUGGUUAAAAAUGUUAGAAUUAUAAGUCUAAGAAUUAUAAUGAAAGAAGUUUAUCCAUUUCAAUUUAAUUAGUACGUUGAUAAAUUUAAAUUGAUAUUAUAUUGAUUGAGUUUGGUUAGAAGGUAUUUAGAAUAGAAUGAGAAUGUGAAAUGAAUUGGUUGAAUUGGUUAUGUUUGGAAAUGAUACAGUUUUAAUUGCAGGAGGUUUUAUGUAAAAAUAAGCAGAAGUGCUGUCGAAAUUUAUAAUAAUAAAAAAAAGAAAAAAAAAGAGAAAAAUUCGGAGUACUUAAACGAGUCCCAUUCAUUAUUAAUACAUGUUUUAGCCUUCGAAAGUUCAUUACAAGGACUUAGUUAUUCAAUUAUAUUACAAAUGUUAUUUUAUUUAUAAAUUAUUCGUAAGUUGUCUGAUAUGUUCGGUAAUGCCUCGUAAUCCUGUUCCGGUGACGGUUCGGGGUUAGAGGGUGUUACAUAAACAUUUUUCUAUGGAAAAUACACACUUGUGUAUAAAUAAGUCGUAUGCCAAACACAAUCCUCCUUCACACCCACCCAACAUGAACACUCUUCAUUCCCUUAUUUCACUCUUUCUCUUCUCAUGCUUCCUUCCUCUUCUCUUGUCUUUUUCACCUCCUCAAACUCAUCUCCCAAUGCAAUGCCUUGAUGACCAGAGAUCUCCUCUGCUGCAAUUGCAACAUCAUCUUUACUAUGCCCCUCAUUUUACUUUCUCUUCCAAAUUUGAGCUUUGGCACCCCAACACUGAUUGUUGCUCUUGGGAAGGAGUCACUUGUGAUGCUUAUGGUCAUGUCGUUGGCAUUGAUCUUAGUUACAAAAACCUUUCAGGCAGCUUUCACCCCAUAUUCAAUCUCCAUCGUCUUCAACGCCUUAAUCUUGUUGGAAACAACUUUAAUACCACUCUGUUUUCGUAUGGGUUUGAUAAACUCCAAAAUCUAACUCAUCUCAAUCUUUCAAGCUCAUGUUUCCAUGGCCAAAUUCCAGUGGAGAUCUCAUUCUUAAAAAAUUUAGUCUCUCUUGAUCUAUCCAAUCAAGAUUCUUGUUAUUUGAGAUAUUACAAAGUUCUUGUUGAAAGCUGGACUGCAAAGCAACAUGUGGCCAGCAGCAUGGUUGGCUGUCGAGCUUGGUGAUAAUGCUUGGUGUGCAAGACUGAAGCUGAACCAGAUGAAGCAAUCAACUUUGGAUGUUUUGUUCUUUUGUAAUUUAGUUUAGUUCAACUUUAACUAGUUUCCAAAGUUAGUUGGAUUAAGUUUGUGAUUGGAUUGAUGAUGUAAAAGCUGGUAUGUCAGCUUAUUUUGUAUUUGACUUAAGCUUGUAUUAGUUUAGUUUAAGUGGGAGCAGUUAUGUCAUUAGGUAACUGUCAAAUGAAUCAAAUUUGUAACUCUUUUAUAUAUUCAAAUUUUGAAUGAAAAAAAAAGGUGAAUGUUCAGUUACAAUUUGCUGAGUAUUCAAUUUUGUUCACUGUUUUUUGCUUUGCUUUGAUUUCUUUUGCUUCGAUACUUCUUGCUUCAGUUUUGCAAAUUCUGUUUUGCAACUUUGUUUUCUUUUUGCUGCUGCCAUUGUUCCAACAAAUGGUAUCAUGAGCCCGAGUCUUUGAGGGGCCUUUGUAUGCAAUCUGCAGCCACUUCAAUUAAAGAAUCCAAACUUCAAGACAUUAAUCAAGAAUUUGAGGUUUCUCACAGAGCUUUAUUUGGAUAGUGUGGACAUUUCAACUCAAAGUGCUAAAUGGUGUGAAACCACAUCUCUUAUACUUCCAAACCUGCAUGUGUUGAGUCUGUCAAGCUGUAGUUUGAAAGGUCCAUUAUGUUCUUCACUCUCAAGACUCUCUUUUCUUUCCAAACUUAUCCUUGAUUGGAACCCAAUCUCUUAUUUACCUCCCAAUUUCUUGGAAAUUUCCUCUCGUUUGGUUUCUCUCAGUUUGAGGAACUGCAAUUUGAGUGGCCAUUUUCCA
RNAcentral lists this long non-coding RNA (32349 nucleotides) under Gossypium raimondii (Peruvian cotton). RNAcentral describes it as "long non-coding RNA (GRAI_LNC003395)". The record is from RNAcentral. Lineage: Eukaryota; Viridiplantae; Streptophyta; Magnoliopsida; Malvales; Malvaceae.